GAUGAACGCUGGCGGCGUGCCUAAUACAUGCAAGUCGAGCGAACGGACGAGAAGCUUGCUUUUCCGAUGUUAGCGGCGGACGGGUGAGUAACACGUGGAUAACCUACCUAUAAGACUGGGAUAACUUCGGGAAACCGGAGCUAAUACCGGAUAAUAUUUUGAACCGCAUGGUUCAAAAGUGAAAGACGGUCUUGCUGUCACUUAUAGAUGGAUCCGCGCUGCAUUAGCUAGUUGGUAAGGUAACGGCUUACCAAGGCAACGAUGCAUAGCCGACCUGAGAGGGUGAUCGGCCACACUGGAACUGAGACACGGUCCAGACUCCUACGGGAGGCAGCAGUAGGGAAUCUUCCGCAAUGGGCGAAAGCCUGACGGAGCAACGCCGCGUGAGUGAUGAAGGUCUUCGGAUCGUAAAACUCUGUUAUUAGGGAAGAACAUAUGUGUAAGUAACUGUGAACAUCUUGACGGUACCUAAUCAGAAAGCCACGGCUAACUGCGUG
Molecule: ribosomal RNA, 497 nt
Filed under: uncultured bacterium
Lineage: Bacteria
Description: partial 16S ribosomal RNA
Rfam family: Bacterial small subunit ribosomal RNA
Source: RNAcentral